AUUGAACGCUGGCGGCAGGCCUAACACAUGCAAGUCGAGCGGAUGAAGGGAGCUUGCUCCUGGAUUCAGCGGCGGACGGGUGAGUAAUGCCUAGGAAUCUGCCUGGUAGUGGGGGAUAACGUCCGGAAACGGGCGCUAAUACCGCAUACGUCCUGAGGGAGAAAGUGGGGGAUCUUCGGACCUCACGCUAUCAGAUGAGCCUAGGUCGGAGUAGCUAGUUGGUGGGGUAAAGGCCUACCAAGGCGACGAUCCGUAACUGGUCUGAGAGGAUGAUCAGUCACACUGGAACUGAGACACGGUCCAGACUCCUACGGGAGGCAGCAGUGGGGAAUAUUGGACAGUGGGCGAAAGCCUGAUCCAGCCAGGCCGCGUGUGUGAAGAAGGUCUUCGGAUUGUAAAGCACUUUAAGUUGGGAGGAAGGGCAGUAAGUUAAUACCUUGCUGUUUUGACGUUACCAACAGAAUAAGCACCGGCUAACUUC
Molecule: ribosomal RNA, 481 nt
Filed under: uncultured bacterium
Lineage: Bacteria
Description: partial 16S ribosomal RNA
Rfam family: Bacterial small subunit ribosomal RNA
Source: RNAcentral